This 13854-nucleotide unclassified non-coding RNA is filed under the name Pomacea canaliculata. RNAcentral's name for it is "titin-like, transcript variant X2". Lineage: Eukaryota; Metazoa; Mollusca; Gastropoda; Architaenioglossa; Ampullariidae. The record is from RNAcentral.
UGAAGUGACCUGCAUUAGCAUAAUCAACAUGGCGGCUGCUGGGGAAAGUACUUGCCACAGCGAUCCGAACUUUGCAGUCAUAUGCUCUUUUUUAGAUAAAUAUGGUGAAUUAUUAGGAUUGCCUGAAAUAUCUUACGUCGAUUUGCAGGAGUAUCUCGAGGACACAAAAGCAGUAUCGAGGGCACUUAUUGACAUUCAUGUCCGUCUUUUGAAGAGGAUUGGAAAAACAAAUGUCAAUCAUGAAAGGUUUGAGAGAAGUGUUACAAAGUUUUGCUUUUACUUCUCUGAACGAGAUGGCUGGGAAGUGGAACGUUUUGGAUACAGACAUGCACAGUUAUCUACCAAACUUCGUAUUCUUAAGAACCUACUGGAAUGCCAGUUUGACUAUAAUGUCAAAUUUAAGGAAAAAGUCAAUGAACUUUGUCCAGAGGAAAUGCGUUUUCUUCCAGCAGGUCGUGACAAGGAUGGGAUGACAUACUGGUACUUACUGGACAAAGAUCUGAAUGUGUUUGUGUACAGAGAAGAACCUGAUGAUGAAAAUGCAGAAUCUUGGAAGCUAGUUUGCAGUGACCGACAUCAGCUGGCACAGUUGGUCGAUCGUCUGAAAAACAACACACAAAAGGCUUUAAAAGAGGAAGGGAAAGAUGACAGGUGCAGCAUCUUCACAGAUGAGUCAAAGUCUACUAGCAAAGAAGGUAGCCCAGCUGCAGAAGAAAAACUCGCAGACAUCAAACCAUUAAAAAUCAAACUAGGGGAUGUCAGUGUGCAGGCAUUCUCUGGAACUUGUGAGGUGCCAACAGUUAGUGAUGUCAAAUUGGAAAAUAAUCGAGAUACAGAGAAGAACAGUGAGAAUGUGAGAAAAGAAACUCCUAGAAGUAAUAAAGCAGGCAGUGAAAAUGACACCGUGAAAAGUGAGGUAAAAGUGAAACAGGAACGAUUAGAGGCUUAUCCCAUUUCAGAGACUACUGUUGUUGGCAAAAGUGCUAUUAAAAUAACCGAUGGUCAGAGUUGCUACAAAGACUCGAAAGUGAAAGAACAGAUAAAAAAAAGGAAGAAAAACAAAGACCAAGAAGCACAUUCAGCUGGUUCAAGCAAAACUAUCAAGAAAGUUGAAAAGGAGCAACCACAAGAAAAGCCACCAGCAGUCCAUGAGAAUGCAGCAAGUAACGAGACAAAAGGGUCAGAUGUUUAUGACAGAGAAAAGAAAAAUGUCAGCUUAGGAGAGAGCACUGAAGCAAGUAAAGAGUUAGCUGUGAAUGGGGAGGAAAAAUUAAAUGAUAAAACUGCAGAAAACAGGGCUUUUAAUAAUUUGGAGGAUUCAGAUAAAAGAGACAAAAAGUGUUGUGUGUUAAGCUCUAAUUCAGCUGAGAAUAACAUUGAACAAAUUGGUCCUCUUGAUCUUUCAGACUGUGAAGCAAGAAAUAGAACCCUGUUGCCAGUGACUGAAGGUAAGGAUGGGAAAGAUAAUUUUAAAGAGAUGACAUGUGGUUAUCAGGGUGAGAAAGAAGAAGAGAAAAUGUUGCUUUCUCAUGUUGAUGGGGAACGUGUGUGUGAAAUCCACGAGGAGGUUCAAGCAAUAACAGAAGUGCCAGUUGAAAAGGAAGUAGAUUCCAGAGUAAUCUCAACAGAUGUAAUAGACUUCGCCGAAAGGGCAAAAGACAUGGAUUGUUUGAUCAAAGUCACAGAUUCAAGCGAAGUAAAAGAAAAAGAAAAAUGUGUGCAGCAAGACUGCAGCAAUGACAGAACGCUCUCUCUUACUGAAUUUCAAAAUCAGACAUCUUGUGUACAGGAAGAGAACUCUGCUGCAGUGAAGGUGUCUCCACCACCAAUUGCACUGUCUGUUCUUCCACAGAAUAUUAAGAAAGAAGACGAAGAACAAUCAGUAUCAGAAGAAUCUCAAAAGGGUGAGGGCAAAGAAAAUGUUUUAGAAAAAAUAGAAGAGAAUGAUGAAGUACAAAAGUUAGAUACAUGUGAAUCUACUUUUGCCCAAGAGCAAGCAUAUGCUAGAGAUAGCAAGCAUCAGGAUCAAGAAAAACUGUUAAAGACAUUGGUGACAUCAGAAACAGUUUGUAAGGGGGAUGUUUCAGUAGAAGCUGUGUCCACAAAAUCAUCAAAAGCAGGACUACAAACCAUACUUGAAAAAUUGACCGAGUCGAAGCAGAUGGACAACAAUGAGCUGCAUGAAACCAAAAGUAUGGAUACUGCUGCAGCACUAGAUCAUAAGGCUGAGCCUAGUGUUCAAGCCACAGAUUUAGAUUCAAAAAAGGAAGGAAAAGUAACAGUUGAGAGUUGUGAAAACUUAGAUAAGUCUGAAGUGGUGAAGUUGGAAAAAUCAAAGCAUGAUAACAGCGGUGCCAGGCAAGAUAGCAAGGAUUAUACGAGGGGGGAAACUUCAGAAGGUGUCAUUUUAACACAAGCAGACACUACAGAGAAAGAAUCAGGAUUGGCUAUAAGUCACCCUACAGAACAUGUGGAUGAACCUUGCCAAAAGUUUAGUUCAGUGACAGGAGCCAAGCUGGAAGAGAAAUGUCAUUUGGUUUCAGAUGAGUUGGCUAAUUCUGGAACAAAAGCAAAGAAUGCUUCUGAAAAAGAGCCAGAGAUGCAGGCAGAUGCAGACUCUUCUGCCAAAAUUAGUACAGAAAAAUCCAUAGAGUCUCUUGAGCAGUUUGAUCUUGAUAAAUCUUUAGAAAAAGCAGCCAGUAGUGGGAAACCUGAUCUCAAAAUACCACAAAAUAUGAGAGAAGAACAAGAAUCGACUGGUGAUUUUGUAAACAUAGAACAGGUUAAUCAUGAAAAAUAUAUUUGUUUUGAAGAUUCUGAAAAGGCACUGCAAAUCAAAGGAGGUAAUCAGCUUGAAGCUACUUGUGUAUCUGAACAAACAGAGAGUGAGUGCCAAAAACUCCCUGAGCAUCAAGAAGGUAAAAGCAGUGAAAUGCAAAUCUCCCCAGAAGCAGCAGUAGUGGCAGUGGCAGAAUGCAUUUCUCAAAGAUCUGAUGCAAAUGACUCCAGCGAGGUUGUGGUCCCAAAAGUUGAAGAAAAGGAGUCUGUGGAAAGUACAAAGCAAAGUGUGGAGCAAGCUGCUGAAAAGCAGGUGAUGUCUGAAAGUGUGAGGGAACAAGGUGAAAUGAGUCGUUCAGAGGUCAGGCUCAACCAGAGUGAUGGGAAAAACAGUGAGUCAGUUCUUGGCAGAACUGCUGUAGAAAAAUCAGCAUCUGAAAUUAUGUCUAAAAGUGAGGACAGUGCUGUAUUAGAUGAAAAAAAGUGUUUUGGCAAAGACGAAGAGGUUGAUUAUUUGGAGAGUGCCAGAGUGGUACCAAGUGAUGCUGAAAAUGAAAAGCUGCAAUGGACUGAAGAGAAAGCAAUGGAUUUGAGCUGCAAGGCAGCAUGGGUAAAUAUUGAUGGAUUAGAGAAUCACGGCUCUGGAAAAUCAACUUUAGAGAUCGAUGAGAGAACGGAGGCAGGUAACAAAGCUGGAGAUGAAAGUGUCAAUAUGAGUAAAGAAGAAACGUCUUUUACGGGCGAACAAGUGACAGAAAAUAAGGUUGAGGCAAAAAAACAAGACAACAUUGUUAAUGUAGAUUUGGCUAGCAUAGAAACAGCAAACACAGACGACUACAGAGUUGCUAGCAGCAAAGUUUCAGGGGAAAGUCAAAUUGUCAAAGCAGAAUUAACUAGUACAGAUGAGCUCAACAAAACUAUCAGUGUGGUGUCAAGCAGUGAAGCAGCAACACAAAAUGAGGUUUACAAGACGGAAAAAAUUGCAAAACAUGCAUCGGACAAAGUUGAAGAAGGACAAAGUGGGGAAAUAGAUGGUUCCAAAAGCAAGGUCAAUGGUGGAAGAAAUUUGCAGGAGACUGAAAGCAAGCCUCAGAAGACAUGUGAGAUUAAAGGGAGAAAAGUUAAAAGAGCAAGAAAAAAACAAGGAGACAAAGGAAAUGAAAAAGUUGUCUCCGAUAAAGAUAGCGAUACUCUGAAUGCAAAAGUGGAAGGUGAACAGAAUCAUGUGGAUAACAAUCAAGUAAUGAAUGAUGCAGAAUCAGUCAAAUCUAAAAAGAAGUCAAGAAGACCGGGAAAGCAAGCAAAAAAGGUUGCUGAAAAAAAUGAUAUAGAAAAUAACAUCCAAGCUGGAGGCAGUGAAACAAAGGAAAACAGUAAACUGUUAGAAAAAGAUGAGAAGGUCGAAGGUGAGCAAGAAGAUGGAGUGAGUGUGGUUAUUUCUAAGAUAACAGAAGAUGCCAGGAACAAAGGAAUGGUGAAUGGACAUCAUGAAGCAACAGAAGAAGUGUUUGAAGAUAACAAAGACAAACCACCAUGCACACCUGCCCUAAAAGGCAGAAGUGUCAAGAGAGGUCGGGGAGGCAAAAAAGGUGGGGCCAAGGUGAGGAAGCGGAGUGCCCCUGAAGCUGCAAGCGAUGACACCAACUCAGAACCUGCAGAAAAGCAAGCCAAGCGUGGAGGAAUCAGGAGAGGAAAGGCUGCGGCCCGGGGCAGGUCCAAUCGAAAAACGACCAAAGCAAGUGAGAGCAGCAGUGACAGUGAUGUUCCACUUAGCCGUGUCAGGGGUAGCAAAGGUCGAGAGACCAGCAAAACUGCCAAGAGCUCUAAGAAGAAGAAGACUGCAUUAGCUCUAGAAGAUGGAUUUUCAUCUAGUUCAGAUGAUUCUCCACUUAGCAGAGCUUGCAAGAAAAAGAAGAUUGUUGGGGAAGAUAGCAGUGAUUUUGAACCAGAGGAACCAGUUGCUCCAAAAAAGAAAGAUCGAAAGACAUUAAAGAAAAAGACACCAGGAGCAGCCCACAAAGAGAUGGAAUCAGCUGAAGAGACCAUUAGUACUCGUCGUAGUCUGAGGUUGCAAAAUAUUAAAAAGAAAGAGCCAGAACCAGAGCCUGAAUUGAGCAGUGAAGAUCAGAGUGUAGAGGAUGAGUCAUCUGAAAUGUGCCUUUCUACUGAAGAAGACUCUGGAGAUGAAGACUUCUCACCUCAAGGCCGUAAUCGUCUUCGGCAAGCAGCAUUAAAGAGCAAAAAAAAAGAGGAAGAGGUGCCUGUAGACGACACUCCCUGUCUUAUCUGUGAGAAAUGCACACAUCCAGAUAUGAUGCUGCUAUGUGACAGCUGUGAUAAUGGCUAUCAUAUGGCCUGCUUACGUCCGCCACUAAUGGUCGUUCCAGAAGGAGACUGGUUCUGCCCACCAUGUGAACAUAAUAAGCUGAUAGAAAGGCUGUCAGAGUAUCUCCAUGUAUUGGAGACAUCAAGCAGGAAGAAAGAGAGAUUAGUUCGCAGAAGAGAGAGACUUGCUUUUGUGGGAAUAAGUUUGGAUAACAUUCUGAAAGAGGAGAAGAAACCAGUCAAGCAAGAAUACAUAUCAGAAGAAGAAGAGGAGGAGGAGGAAAAGUAUUCCUAUCAGCCAUCCAGGAAAGUGUCACAUAAUCCAGGAAACAAGCACAAGAGAUACAAAGUUCACAGUCGUGAUGAGAGCCCACUACCAGAGGAAGUCUAUGCUAAAAGAUCUUGUCGAACUCGCAGCAAUGUCAGUUACCAGUUCAAGGAGUUUGAUGAGCUCAUCAACCAAGCCAUAGAGGAAGAUAUCAAGCUGCCUAAGCCUCCAAGGCCUCCCAAGCCCCCAGGAAUCAGCAGAGGUAAAGACAUGUCCAACAUUCUAGGGAUGGACAGUGAUGAGGAGAAAGAGAUGCUGAGGAAACAAAAGGAGGAACAACUGGCUGCUGAGUUAGUGGAUGGGCGACCUCCCCCAAUCAUUAAGAAAAAGCCCAGACGGCGAUUAACUACUCUGGACAGUGAUGACAAUCAAGAAGAGGAGGAUGAGAGUGAGGAGUUCAAGUUGUCAGAGAGCGAUGAGGACUCUGAGGCCUCUGCAGAACCUUCACUAGAAGAGGAAGACUUGAGUGAUGAAUCAGGGGACUGGAAGCCACAGCGAACUUGGUACAACAAGGCUACACGCAAGAGCUCUCGCAAUAGGAACAGACAAAGCCAGUGGUCUCGUUACGAUGAUGAUUUUGUGGUGGAUGAUGAAUACGACAGUGAUGAAAGAGCCAACAAGCGUCGCUCAACACGGAAUUCUUCAAAGCGAAGGAUUCGCUACAAAGACUGGGAAUCAGAAACAGAAGAAAGCAUGGAAACUGAUGACACAGAAGCUAGCCUUUCGUCAGUGGAUUCAGAGGAUUCAGUUGUAAAAAGGAAAAGGAACAACAAGAAACCUAGGAAGAAGUUUUGUUCUGACAGUGAAAGCUCUGGCUCAGAGUACAUGGUUAGAAUUAGUCAGAAAAAGAAAAGGCGUGUCGAGUCUUCUGAAUCGGAGGAAGAUAAUAAGUCUAGAAAACCCACAAAAUCAGGGACAGCAGACUCUGUGAAGGCUUCUAAAGUACCCCCACCAGUUGCUGUUACAAGCCAGAAAUCUAAGUGUGGCCCAAGAAAACCGCAAUUUUCUGAUGAUGACAGUGAGACUGAAAUUGAGAAGGAUGAGGAGGAAGAGGAAGUUGUUCCCCGAAAGAGGAAAAAUGUUCUUAGGGAUUCAUCUUCUGAGGAAGAAAAAGGUGUGUGUGCUGAUAAUGGUGACAAUGAAGAGACAGAAAUAGAAGAGGAUGAAGGAAAGACAGUGGAGUCAUUUGCGAAGAAAGAGAGCCUAGAGCCUAAAGAGGAACAAACUGCAGUAGACCAAGAGAAGCCAACAGAGAAGAAGGAACAAAUUUCAGAGGAGAGUGUUACUGCAGACAAACUGGAGUCAUUUGAUAAAAGGCUGCCUGUGGUGAAGCUGAUAAAGGUUGUGACUGGGAUGCAAACAACACAUGUUGCAGAGAAAACUGAGCCAGAAGCCAAACCAGAAAAGACUUCUGCAGAGGAGAGUGAGCAGCAAGUACAGGACAGUGAAAAAGUUAGUAAAAAGGUCAGCAAGAGCAAAAGCAAAUCCAAAGGAAAGGGAACAGUUAAAACUAAAAAGUCGGAAGUGCAGGUGUUAGAGGAAGGUAGAGAAGAGGAUGGACAGAGCAAAUCAGCUGUUGUUGAGGCGCCUUCAGCAGAGAAGCCUGAAGCUGGAACUGGCACAGAUGCUGGUGGACCACUUUCAUCACAAGCCUCACAAACAGCCUCCACAACCAAAGGUGCAAUGCCUAAUUUUCUGAACGUUGACGAGGUCAAGGAAAGCCCACAGGCUGCCCUGGUUCAUCCCUCACCUCUUCCCUGUUUACCCGAAAGAAUGCCAGCUCCAGGAGAGGUUGGCUUCAGGUAUCCAGGUGGUGGUGAUUUCAGACAUCCUAUGGAAGGAGGUUUCCAGUCUCCUCCAUAUGAUCCCAGAUUCCAGACACCUGAAGGGCAGGAGUUACGGUCACGAGGGUUCCAAGGACCCUUUUGUCAUGGGCCAUACCCUCUUCUGGGAGAACAGUUCCGAGGGUCUGUGCCAGAAAAUUUCCAGCCCCCAGGAUCCAGUGAUUAUUUCCACCCACAGGGUAUGAAUUCAUUUGGUCCUCAUGGCCAGCCAGGUCAAGUGCCACGGCCUGAAGGAUUUAAACAAAUACCACAAAGACAAGAAAGGUUUCCAGCUUGUGGACCUGAGGGUUUCCGUCCGUCUCAUCCUGAAGGCUUCCACCCUGGAGGCCCAUAUCCUCCAUUCCAUGGAUCCCCACAACAUUUCUAUCCUUCUGCCAGCCAGCCUUUCCAAGGCCAUCCACCCACAGGGUAUGGAAUGUACCCUCAUCGUUUUCCUCCAGGCCUGGUUCAGGGUCCAUUUGGACCUGGGCCACAUCCAAAUACAAACAACUUUCACCCCAUGGGAACAGCGCUGUCUCAAGUGCCUGGGGUUCCCCCUGCAGGUCGCGGUGGUUUUAUGAUAGACAACCUUCUACGUAGCAGUAGCAGUGGCCAUUCGUUCACUGAGGAGAUUCCCCCACCUCCCCCUGCACAGGCCCAUAUGACCCCACCCCAGAUGACACCCCCUCAUGUGACUCCUCCCCAACAAGCUCUACAGCAGCCGCAGCCACCAUCACAGCAGCAGCAGCCGCCUCCACCACCACCGCCGCCGCCGCCACCGCCGCCACCGCCGCCAUCACGACCAUUAACUUCUCCCAGGUCCCCUGGCCACGAUGAUGAUGAUGAUAUGGGAGAUGUUUCUGACAUUGUGAGUUAUGUUAUGAAUGAUGAGUUCUUCAAACAGCAAACGAGCUCAUAGCACAUAACCAACAAAGUGCAAGUCAGUAAAAGAAGCUUCUGCUCUCACCUUUGUAUACUUGUUUGUAGAUUAUUGUUUACAUUCAGCUAUAACGAAGUGUGCUGUAGAUUUAUGUCUUUUACAGGAAAAGAAGAAAAUGUUUCAGGGGACAUUUUAUCUGUGCAUAUAUCAUUCAUAUAAAAAAAGAAAAUAAUGAGGCAAGGUUGAUGUAUCUAUACAAUUUAUAUGAAAGCAUGAUAUCAGUAUGUCUUUAAAACCAUGAACAUUAAUUCUGCAUUUUUUUCUGCAGACCAUUUGAGUUUUAUCUUCGGUGUUCUGCGUUUAGUGUUGUUGAUCUAAUUCAUUGAGAGAUUCAGUCCGACGGUAGUAAAUGAGGCACAGACUCAGUUGACUGGAAGACCAGCUGCAAGAUUAAUAUGGGGAAAAAGACCAGCAUCAGUAGCACAAACAGAAAAGGCAAAGGUUAAAAGAUUCAUUGAACAUGAAAAUAGCAUCAACAGAAUGGUGCACGCUGAAGCAUGUCGCAAAUAAGAAAUGUUAUUUUGAAGCAUGGCUCUGUAGUUAAAAUUCCAACUAUUACAAUGUGACCACAUUUAUUUUUUAUAUUUGCUCCCCAAAUCAAUGUUUGCCGAGAAUCAAAGGAAACACCCAUUAUUGUUUUUAUUUGUUUGUUUGUAGGAUGUACUGGUGAAGAGUGACGACUAAAAGGAGACAAAAAUGUGUGCUUAUUGUACACAACAUUGAAAUUUUUUACCUAUCCAUGUUACGAUUCAUUAUUCUGUUUGCUGAUUAUAUGAAAAAAUGAAAUGCAUUUUAUACAGAAUAUUUGCAAAGUUGAAUUCAUGUGGAUGGCAGUGAUUUAACUGAGUUGUGAAUUAGCUUGCUUAUUUACAUCAUUAAAACAUAAUGAAAUAUUUUGCAUACUGAUUUAAGGAUAUUUUGCAUACUGAUUUAAAGACUUACUAUUGAAGAAAACAAUUUAUGUUAUCACUCAAACAUAAAACUGUUAUAGAAUCUGUGUAUAGCUAGUCUUCUCUGCUUAAUUUUGAAGUGAAAUGUGGGUAUCUUAUGUCUUGCGAUGAUAAUGUUUUUAGUCUUAAUACUGUUGCAAAUGAUCACAGUGUAUUGCUUAUAUCAGUCCAACUAUUUUGAUACGCAAUAAAGAUAUUCUUACAAAGACUGUUAAAGGCAGUCUUUUUCAGCCUGUAUUUCAUGAGGACCUUAGAAAGCAUGAUGGGGAAAAACCUUGCAUUUAAUUUGUCGAAUGAGAUUGGGGAAAAUACUGUGAGUUUUAAAUAAAUCAGUUUUGAUACAGGUAUUCCACAAGACCAGAAGAUUGUUUUGCAGGAUAAAGAAGUUGAGAAAAUCUAUUUAGAUAGAUGUAGAAGGAAAUAUAAUCCCAUUCAUUAAUAUGAAUAAACGUAGUGGAAGGGGAAGUGGGCCUGUAUGACAGAUUAUAUAAGAUACCCUGUAUAACAAAGGUUUCAGAAUGUUUAUUUUUAAACUGAUGUACAUAGAGGUAUUUUUGGUUGUUGUAAAUUACUGUCUUUUUCAACGAAAAAUUAAAAUGGGAGUAUUUUUAAAAAUAGUCAGAAUUCAGUGUAAUUUAUUAACUACUACAAGGGCAUUUGUUAGACUUUUUUUAUAGGUAGUUAUACCUGUAAAAAUCUUUAUAUAAAGGAGCAACUUUCAAUCAUUGUCUUGGAUGUGACUGCUUUGUGUUAUUUUUCAGCAGAAGGUUGUGUGUUUCUUUUCUUCAAAAGAGGAAAGAAACUUAUUCUUUUGCCAGUUAUCAGAAUGUUUGAGCAUUGAUUCGCCCUGAAAGCACAGCUACAUUUGUGUAUUUCAGCUUUUCUUUAUCAAUUUUUUGCUUAACAUUGGGCUUGUAGUUUUCAAUUUUUUAAGUAGCUCCCAUGUUUCAAUUUUUGAAGAAGCUGUUACAGGUCUUCUGAUAACUUGUGCCACCAUAAAAUGUGGACUAGCAUUGAGUGCAGGGAAGAAACUGUAGACCAGUUAUCUUCAUGGAUUGAAGACAACAAAACUAUAAAUUGGAAGAUGACUAUAAGAAACAGCCCAAAACAUAUACAUGAAAUAACAACAAAAAUAUUUAUAAUGAAAACUGUGUGCAUGUAGUAUCAUGUUAAUUUAUUGAAUAUAUGUAAAAAUUACUUUUAGCUGAACCUUAAGAAGUGCAUCAUUACCUCAUAUAUCUUAUUAUUGCUUUUAAUGUUUUGAAAUGUGUAUUUACUGUUGGGAUGCCUGAAGAUUUUAAGAGUUUUGAUGAUAAGGACUGAUCAGAACAACAGGCAUUUCAUUGUUAAAUGGAGCAAAAUGAUCUGAACUGAUAAGCACACACCAUAAUGUAGGUGUUUGUGUCAGCAGUUGUGUAUGUAUGUGCAUGCAUGUGGAUGUGUGUUUUCACACAUGUGCAGUCUUUUUGUUUGUUUUGAAGAGAAAGAUCAUGAAUGCAGAUACUUGAGAACAGAGUGUAUUGAGGUUGCAAGUGGUGAGAAUACUGUGAGAAAGGCAGCUAACAAAGGAAUUACUGUACCAUGCAAUCAGAUGUUAACGAUUUUUUUUUAUUUGUAUUUUUUGUGCUGAGCUAAAGGUCUGCUGGUUAGAAAGUGGUGUGCACAGGUCAUUACCUGCGCUUUCAGAAUGUGACACAAAAGGGACACUUGUUACAGAUAAAACAUGUAUAGGAUCUAAUUUUCUGCCAUCAGAACUGCAAGUUAAAUCCAUUGUUCAUUGUCAGUAUGUAUGUUUAUAUGGUCCUGAAGUUACUUUUACAAGGUCAUUUUAUGUUGUUUUGCUCAUAGUUUGUGACUUUGUUUUGAAUUUAUUAUACACAGUAUUUCAUUUGUCUCUGCAUUUUUAAUGAAGGCUGUUAGAGGUUUUGGCAGGUAGCAGUUCACUGAAAAACUGAAAUAAAUCAUUGGUAGGCCUUGGCUUUAACGAAAACAUAGCAUUUCACCUUCUGUAAAACAUUCAUCCUGUAGCUUCAUUAAAAAAAAAAAAAAUGAGUCAUCAGUUUUUAGACAUUCAGUGUUUACUAAUGUGCAUUUGACUCACCAGAUGAUUUUAGAAACAGUUGUGUUACACGUUAUGAAAGAAAGUUAAGUGCUUGCUCACAUAUUUUGGAAAUAGUUGUGUGCUUUAGGCAACUGUUUCCUGUGCCUUAUGUUGACAUAGUCUUUUCUUUUGAUUCGCGGAAUUGUGGACUGUGUAUAUAAAUCUUAUGAUGUAUACAUUCAUUUUGCUUAGACAUAAUGGGUACAUCACCUGGAUGAAGAUAAGCAGUAUGGACUGCACAAGUAAGACUGGUACAUGAAUUCUUUUUUUUUUAAUUUUGCCGUAGUCUUUUUCAUUAACUACUUUGAUCAAAGAACACAACUUUGUAGCAUAGAUGUAUACAUACAUUUUGCAUAAACACUAGGGAAAGCAGAUUGGUUUGAUGUUAUAUGUCCCUCAGACUCAGUUUGAUGUUUCUUUGUGAAAUGUUGCUGGCUGCUGCACAGCAACACUCCAUUAUCAAGAUGAAAAUAUAUUUUAAAAGAUCCUUUAAUACCCUGGCUGCAGUUAUUGAUUAUAGUUGUCAUGCUACCUUGUGUGACUGCCCAUUAAUUCAGUGCUGAUCAGAAUUACAUGGUAAAUACCCCAGGUGUAAUAUGUUAAAGGUAUUUAAUUUUUAUGACCCAAACAUUUGUCCUUUGGGUAACCACAAAGUACUUAAAAUAUUAUGUUUAAUCUUUUAAAAUAUCUUAGAAACUUUAUAGAAAUUAGAAAAUAAAGAUGAUGGGUCAGUUAUUGUUCAGUGCCAUAGCUGAUUUUAAAUCCAGUUUUAAAACUUAAUCUUACAUUUGAUGUGGACUUAACAGCUUUGCUAGUUUAUGGUUGAAGGAGUAAAGUACAAUAAAAGACUUUUGAAUUUUUUUAUGGCAGGGUGAAAGGUAAAGAAGCAGAGAGAGAUAUCAAACUCAUGCUGUUCAUGACCACCAUCAAGUCUCACCAAAACAUAGCUCUUUAGACUGACUUAUUGCUGCAGGCAGUGGGUGUCAGUCAUAGGAUUGCAUUUUUGAUCUGCAUAUACACAGGCUGUCCCAGAUUUAAUGUUUUAAUGAAAUUGGUUAAAGCUUUUGAGUCAACUUUUUACAUAUUGUAAUCUUUUUAAUUUAAUGGAAAUUUGAGUUGGGGCUAGGCAUGUGUGCCUUUUGGACAUGCUGCAUCCAUGACUAAAGUAUGAUUCCUCAAAGCAGCAUGUUCCCUGUCAUCAUGCCAAUCCCUUCUAAAAUUACAGACUCAGGGCAGGAUCAUAAAACAAAAUUUAAAAAUUCUAUUUUAUGAUCAUAAAAAAUGCUCAUCUGAAUUGGGUUUGCUUUGUGUGAGACACAUCAUAUGAAUACAUGUUAGCAUGCAGGCACAUCUACUAAAUUUAUUCAAGUGAAUCCAGCACAGAUGAAGUCAUCAUCAGUCAUUUUCUGCAGAUUUUUUUUCUUCCUUUUUUUUUUUUUUUUUGUUGCCCAAACCAGUCAUUAUAAUUUUGCAUCUGUUUUUUUAAAAAAAGGAAAAACUGGGCUGAGCCCCUUGUUUUUCAAACGGUCCAUGUGAGUACAAUCACUAAGCAUAGAGAUAGAGCUGUCACUUCUCAUCCCAGCAGUAGAACUGCUACUGAGUAUAAGAUGUUAAUUAAAUAAUCAUAUUUCAAAUUAUUUUUUAUAUUACACCUGUUUUAAUAUUUUUUCCUUUGAGUAAAAUUGGCUGUAGUCUGCUUACUGUUAUUUCUAAGAUCUUGUUUUUUCAAGAAAUUUCCCAUUUAAGAGAAAAGGCAGCUAUUUUUAUUAUUCACUUUUAUCACAGUGAAGUUUUUGUCAGUGGAUAAUCCCAAUCUCUGUAUAGUUUGUUUGCUUCCAUAUACAUAUAUAUAUUUUGUACAUAACCACAAUUAACAAAAUACUUAGGUCAGCUCUAUUCUGCAUCCUUACAUCAGAUGCUAAAAGCAGACAGAAGUGCGAUUUAUGAAUUCAGCAAUAUCAAUGAAAGCUGCAAGAGACUUUUCUGGGACUUUGGCAUGUGCUUCAGUAUCCAGAGUUUUGUUUCUCUAUAGUCUCUUUCAAGCUAUUGCAUGAGCUGGAAUUUUAAUGAUUUAUUUUAUUACCAAAUUUUAAAAAAAUAGUUGCAUCUUCUUUUUCAGCAUCUGGUUGGCCUGUGUGCAGAUGGUCUGACUGACCAUUGGACCAAUGGAAGAUUUAUUGUACAACUGACUGGGUUCAGCACAUUGUUUGGUAUUUUGUAACGACAGAAGACAUUGUUCCUGCAUGUCUUUCUUGGAGGUACCAGAUAAUGACUCGUCAGAUGAUGGUUUUGUAAUGACACGGGCAUAAAAGGUAAUUAAAUACAUCAUGAGCUCAAAAUGGAGUCUAUUUGAAAAAUACAUUUGUGCAUGGUAACCCUCACAGAAGAAGAGACCUGUAAAUAUGUAUCCAGUGAAACUUGUACAGAUUUUCUGCUAAAAGUCAACAUGUACAUUUAAGAACAUGAUUUUGUUUUAAGAUUUUCAGAACGUUUUCAUUACUCGUGUAUGCCGAGUGUUUUACCACACAUGUUGAAAUAUACAAGCAUGUAAAUGUAAGUUGUGUCAUCUUGUUUAUUCAUAUUUCCUAAGUAAAGACAAUUCAGACCUA